GCCCGGGUGGUGAAAUCGGUAGACACUGGGGACUUAAAAUCCCCUGGGGGCAACCCCGUGCGGGUUCGAGUCCCGCCCCGGGUA
Molecule: transfer RNA, 84 nt
Filed under: Gemmatimonadota bacterium
Lineage: Bacteria; Pseudomonadati; Gemmatimonadota
Description: tRNA-Leu
Rfam family: tRNA
About the family: Transfer RNA (tRNA) molecules are approximately 80 nucleotides in length. Their secondary structure includes four short double-helical elements and three loops (D, anti-codon, and T loops).
Source: RNAcentral